UUCUGUGUGAGAGAGCUCUCUUCAGUCCACUCUCAGAUGGUUGUAGGGUUUAAUUAGCUGCCGAUUCAUUCAUUCACCUACCAAGAACCAAGGCGGAGCGCAUGUCUUGGUAGCUGACUGGAUGACGCGGGAGCUAAUAUUUAGCUCCACGUUGUUUGUGGUUGGACUGAAGGGUGCUCCCUUGCUCGCAGUU
Triticum aestivum (bread wheat) is the source of this 193-nucleotide non-coding RNA. Lineage: Eukaryota; Viridiplantae; Streptophyta; Magnoliopsida; Poales; Poaceae. The record is from Rfam.